UACGUAGGAUCCAAGCGUUAUCCGGAAUUACUGGGCGUAAAGCGUACGUAGGUGGAUGUUUAAGUGAGAUGCGAAAUCUGGCGGCUCAACCGUCUAGACUGUGUCUCAUACUGGGCAUCUGGAGGAUGGCAGAGGCAAGUGGAAUUUCCGGUGUAGCAGUGAAAUGCGUAGAGAUCGGAAGGAACACCAAUGGCGAAGGCAGCUUGCUGGGCCACACCUGACACUGAGGUACGAAAGCGUGGGGAGCGAACAGG
This 254-nucleotide ribosomal RNA is filed under the name uncultured bacterium. RNAcentral's name for it is "partial 16S ribosomal RNA". It matches the Rfam family "Bacterial small subunit ribosomal RNA", at positions 524 to 776 of the family's 1533-position model. The record is from RNAcentral.